UCACAGUUUCGAAAAAGCAAAACGAGAGGAAUUAAGAAAGAGACAAAGUUUCAGUUUUCAAUAUUUUUUAUCAUAGAAAACUGAACGGAUCACUGGUUUGAUAGAAACGUGUAGGCUGCAAGAGAAAUAGCGAACAAAUAAAAUGUGGUCGUCGUGUGAACUUUUUGGGUGUCGUGAGCCAGUGACUCCCGGCCAUGCUCUCCACUCCAUGCUAUUUCUCAAUUGAAUAAUACUAAGAAUACGAUUGGAAUGAUUUUGGGAGCUUGUACAAAAGAGUUGAACCGGAUUCAAAUAUGUGAAAUGUUGGUGCCGACUACAGUGAAUAGCAUUUAUCAUAUUUCAGGUCCACUUUUGCCAGCCGUUGAAAACAAAGAUGUGCAAGUUUUUAUGCUGACCGUCAUCACCAGCCAUCUCAGCAUCAUCAAUUGGAUUUAAACAAUAUCCAGUUUGAUUGGGAAAAUUUCUGUCCUCGUGUAUGCCCAUGUGAGUGUGGGUGUAUUCACGAGGACGCCCUUUUUCCGUCAUUCAACUUUUCUGCGGAUGGAUGAUGCACUUGUGGAUGCCUGGCUGACUGGCUGUGGAUUUCCCGGGCUUAAAGCAACUAUAUGCUUAUCGAUCCGGGCGAUCAUCCGUUCGCAGCCGUGAGAACUGUGAGAAAAAACAAACGCCGGCACCUGCACACCACUCUCCUCGUCACUCACAUGGAAAAAUACGAUUCACAUGUGUUUGGAUGGAAUCGUGUAACAUUUUCAUUCUCCGUGUAUUGGGCAACUUUUUGAGGUUUUUUUUCUUCCCCCGGUUCAACUGUUUUUUUGUUUUUUUUUUUACAAUUUUCUCGUUCGCCUUCAUUCCAGACAUAUCUAAUAACGUAAUAAAAAUAUUUUCAUUACAAUGAUGGCGAAUGGAAUAAAUGGCAACUGGUAUUAAAUUUUCAUUUUCGAGGAUGAUGAUUUGAAAGUUUUGGCACAUGAUCGCAGCAAACUCGUCUGCGUACCUCUCGUAUCGCAUUCCUCCCUGGAAACUCUUUUUUUUCAUUCUUCGGCUUGAUCUUCCACUCUGUUAACAUGUAUAACUUUUAAAGAGGGGGCGAGCUAUAGGGCGGAGAUAUACAACGGGGUAUACAACAUUCGAAAUAAUUGAUGCAUAUUAGGCUAAAGCACUAUAUAGCAUGCAGUCAGUGUCUCGCCAAAACAAAAAAAAAAGAGAAUAGAAUUAGGAUUUUUCUUUUUUUCCCCCAAAAAGUUGAAGGGGGAAGAAAAAGGGAGUCACGUGACCUGGACGGAUGCAUUUCCGAGUGAAGUUGCCACCCCCUGCUGUGCUCUUCUUCUUCUUCUUCUACUUUUCUACAAGGAGAAAACUGCCGGUAACUCAACACCAGACUCCAUUGACAACACAAAUCACGAUUCCGACGAGAUUUAUUUAUACAUCCAGUCUCUCUCUCUCUCUGGCUCAUGAUUGCUUCCAUAAUGCGCUUUCGCGUACCCGUUGCUCCUUUCUCCCCCCAACAAAGUUUUCACUCUCGUUUCUGCCCUUUUAAAUCUUUCUGGCCUAUAAUGGAAAUUUCGCUUUGCGAUGAAUUAUUAAAAGGAAGAAAGAAAAAAACAUUUACAUUUUAGCCUACGUCUUUUUUUUUUGGUGAAAUGUCAUUUGUCUUAAAAGGUUUUUCAUUCUGGGAGUUAUGCAAAGUGUCAUCUCCCUGACUGCUCUGGUUCUAUCUCGAGUCUUGACCUUUUCAUGAAUCACUGAUUUGAAUACAAAAGAAGAAGACGAAGAAGAAGAGAAGCAAGAAAUCGAUGAAAUCAUAAAAGGAGCGGUCCAGUGUCCUUCCUCUGUACACUGCGCAGUGCAUGGAAUAAAAUGUCUGGAGGAUAGAAGAAGAAGGAGAAGAAAAAAGAACAGAACAUCGGUCAGUAUACAUGUACCGGUUUCACUUCUUUGUCGUCAUGACUUUCUUUUUUCUUUUUCUUUUGGGAAAUUUUGUCUUUCGGUUCGGCGAGCUUCUUUUUUUUUUUUUCGUCUGGCCAGAGUCCCGAAUAAUCUUGUCAAAAAAUGAGAAGAAAAAGUGAAAGAAAAAAGUAAAGAGGACGGAGAGGGGAAAAAAAUGGGAAAACAACAAAUCUAAUACGACUAGAUAUCUCAUUCGAAAGCGGAGAGUGAGUGAGUGGAGAGAAGAUCCGGAUCCAUUAAUCACCGAUGGAACUAGCCGUGAUUCCCUGGGAAACUUGACUCACCUAUUCUUCUUCUUCUUCUAUUCCUUCCAGGUUUUUUUUUUUUACCUUUUUUUUUAAUUUUUCUACUCUCUCGAAAUCUAUACAGAUACCAGUAUAUAUACCGUCUACACACGUAUAAUACAAAUGUAAGGCUUCUCCGUGCUGGUGCCGUGCUCCAUUGAUUUCCUUGUAAAUAAAUAGAAGAAGAAUUCUGUAAGCCGCAUUCCACAGCAGCAGCAGCAGCAGCUCUUUUCUUCUUCUUCUUCUUCUUCUCCUCUUGUAUGAUUCUCAGUUAUAGCUCAGAGAAUCGGGGCCCAGGACUUGUAUCUCGCAUUUCUAUUUGAAAAACGCGCAUAACUUGCGCAUAAUAGCAGACGCGGAAUCAAAGUGUUGCCGAGCUUGUGAAAAGAGACGCUGGUUGAAUCGAGCAAAUUAUGCCGAAUCAUCAGACGAAUCGUUGGCCGUCAUCAGUUAUAUACAUCAAAAUCAUCAUCAUAAUAAUUCAAUUCAUGGAGAUAAAAAAAAAAAAAAGUAAAGUCCCUUUUUCUAUCCAGCCAGGCCCAUCCACUCCCCCCUUGAAGGAAUAUUUACUAUUUUUCGAUAAAAGCGGGGAGUUUGAUAUAGGGAGAGAGUCUGAAUGAUGAUAUAGAGGGGGGUAAGUUGUGCUUUUGAAUUGAGUCAAGUGAACAUUUUAUACGGGCUGUUAUUAAAGAGAUUGGGUGAGCGUUACCUGACUCCUCUAUACACUGUAUAAUAUGUUGUAUAUAUCACAGACUCUAACACUGAGCUGUGGGGAAAAGAGUUAUAUGUACUAGGAGAUAUAGACUGUGAGAGAAGGGGGUGAAAAUGAUACCCUUGGCAUCUCUUUUUUCCCUCCCGUCUAUUAUAUUCGCUCGCCCUUUUCUUUCCUGAUUCUAUUUGAUCUUUCGCGUAUCUACGAUCGAGUUGUAUAUAGUAGUAUAGUACCACAAUUAGCCGAUAUGAUUGUUGGAACCGCGGCAGCUCUAUACAUGGUCUUUAUAUAUAAUCCACCCUUUUAUUUCUUUUGGCGUUGUUCUCGCUCUCCAUUUCUUUCCCACCGUGAUUGCAUCGCCAAAUUUGCCGUCACGGAUCAGAAACCAUUGGAAAGGAAAUGACGGGGAACGCAGCAGAGUGAGUAGACGGUAGAUAUUAUGUAUUAGGAAAUAUGGAAAUAUAUGACGGGCAGACUCUAUGACCUCCAGACGAAUCACGCCAUUCAUUCCGAUUUGAUGUUAU
Molecule: long non-coding RNA, 3467 nt
Filed under: Daphnia pulex (common water flea)
Lineage: Eukaryota; Metazoa; Arthropoda; Branchiopoda; Diplostraca; Daphniidae
Description: uncharacterized LOC124195546
Source: RNAcentral